GUCUAGAUACAGAGCUAUGCUGUCAGGCUAAAGAGGGCUGGAUAGAGGGAACCAAUUAGGUGGUCUGUGGGGGUGCUGGAGGCAGAUUAAAGGGGACAGGAUGGAAACAACAAUAGGAAAUAUAUUUAGCCCGAUGAAGUUGCAUUGACUGACUGGAUCACACGCAGAGAAGGGCAAACGGAUGCCAUUACCAGAGCUCUCAACUCGAACUUCAGGUCAAAUCGGGAACUUUUUCAAAUGGCCUUGGCAAGGAAUUUCCAUCACUAAAUUGACGCAUCUUCAAUCCCCUGAUUCCAAACUGGUUUUAAAUAAGCUCUCAGGGUGGGACAGAGUCCCUCAACAAAUGCAGACUUCUAGGGCAGCAGCACUCUAGUUCAUCUGAUGUUUUUCAGAAGAGACAAGUAAAUGGAUUAGGGACUUUUCAAUUUUAAUUUAAAUGCCAUAGCUGACUGCCUCAUUGAUUCAAUAAAGGGAUCCAAUGUCCAUACUUCUGAGCA
This 497-nucleotide long non-coding RNA is filed under the name Monodelphis domestica (gray short-tailed opossum). RNAcentral's name for it is "lncRNA (ENSMODG00000048263.1)". Lineage: Eukaryota; Metazoa; Chordata; Mammalia; Didelphimorphia; Didelphidae. The record is from RNAcentral.